AGUGUGUAGUGUGUAGAUACAAAUUUGCGAGUAUGAAUACGGAACCGUUCCUUAUUAAUAUUCAACAUACGGAUGAUUGACAACUCUAUCGAGCUGCCGCAAUGAGAUUGGAACUAGCGACCUCAAGGAUUCCUCGGCCCGGUCAUGUUGUCUACUGAGAUGUCGUGCACAUACUCAGGAAACUCCGGCCAUUUAGCUGAUGAACGACACCAGAGCGCCCCGAGAUGGGUUCGUGAGUGAAACAGAAACAUUCUAUUACAAAAGCGUCGCAUAAAUAAAUCAAAGAAAAGCCUCGUUAAUCGGUUAUUACCAUAGACAAUGGGAAUUAGAUUAAUGGCGGGAAACACCGCCAUUUGUCAAGAUGUCCGCCGGAGAGAUAGCAUCGUGAUGUCACGAGAUACGUGUGACGGAUUGGGAUAUUGUAUCAUAUUUAUUAAAGGAAAAAAGAAACAUGUGGAUAUAAAAAUAGAA
Danaus plexippus (monarch butterfly) is the source of this 471-nucleotide long non-coding RNA. RefSeq lists it as uncharacterized. The transcript has 3 exons. The record is from RefSeq and is a predicted model, not a curated record. NCBI's taxonomy places the organism in Eukaryota, Metazoa, Arthropoda, Insecta, Lepidoptera, Nymphalidae.